GAAAAUUAUAUAAACAAGCACAGAAAAUGGAGGAAAAAAAAGGAGAAAAUUCUACUGGCGGCUAGAGAAAAACAGAGACAUCGAUACACGCAGAAGCUGACGGAAAACCAAAAAGAAAAAGGAACAAGGUAGCAGGCAGAGAAAAAUUGCUAAAAUUAAUCAGGUUCCGUUGAUUUUUGGUGAUAUCUUUUCACGUUUAUAUGUUUAAUUUCAACAUUAUACAUUUAUCAUGAACCUUUUAAAUAAUUUAGAACAAAAUAAUUUAGCGUACAUUUAUCAUGAACCUUUUAAAUAAUUUAGAACAAAAUAAUUUAGCGUAACACGAUAUAGGAAUUAAACAAAUAAAUGUGGAAAAAUAUCACCAAAAAUUGACGGAACGUGAUUAAUUUUUGUAAUUUUUCUCUGCCUGCUGCCUUGUUCCUUUUUAUCUAUAUCUCUGUUUUUUUCCAGCCGCUAGUAGAAUUUCCUUCUUUUCAUUUUCUACUUUUUCUCCUAGGUGAGUAUGUGUGUGGUACUGAAUAUUUCAAGUAGAAAUAUAAAAUGAUAAUGCUGUCUUCUUGAAGGAAUUUAAUCCCGAACUGAACAUUCCAAUCUACACUGCUAGGCCGAAAGCUCUUAAACAUGUUACCCGCACCUAAUACCAUUGUGCAAUAUAGAACUUUCUACAUAAACUUGCCUAAAUUAUUUGCAUUUAUCUACUUUUUUCGUUACUGAGUAAUAAUAUCAUUUUCCAUUUUUUGCAGGGACUGUGGUUGAUUCUAAAAUCUGUCAUCCUACAGAGUUUGAUUUUUAUCUCUGGUAUUCAGGUAAAACACCAGUACUUCUACGUGUAAUGCAGAAUAGCAGUGGCAAGUUUCUUUGUGACUAGCAAUAUAACGUAAGACAUCUUUUCUAGCAUAGAAAAAAAUGUAAUUCGGUAUUCAAUAUGUUAAUCUCGACUGCUAGAAAGGCAUAUUCUAGUACUUGUCAAAACGUUGUCUUAGAUUCCCGUUUGGCAUGGCUUUUGCUUUUACUUUUUGUAUAAGAAUUUUUGGAGAAAACUACCAAAAUUUUUGUUUGAAACUAAUUUUUAAACGUGCUUAUUCCAGAGAUACUUUUAGGGGAAGCCAUAUUUGACCGGUUUCCUUUAAAAGCUCUUCUAACUUGAAGAACCAUCUUCAUGAAAUUAGCCAAACAGAUCCAAAAGCAAUUUUCGGAUGUCAAAAGCCCUUUUAGCUUUUCAAAAAGCCAUGUCAAAUGGGCUGUUAGUCACCCCAAGUAGCUUGUGCAAUUCAUUAUCAUAUAAAACUUUAAUUGAACUCAUUGACAAGGUCAAUUUCAAUUUCACAAUUUUAACCCACUGGUGCAUUUACAUGUUUUAAAAAACAAAGAUCAUCAGUGUCACCAUUUAUUCCAAUCUCGUCCCAUUAGUUCGAGUCAAUAUUUUUGGUCACCGUGCUUUUAUAACAUGCGUCUUGGAUUCUGGAAGUUGUGGACUUUGUACACACUUCUUUGACAUUCAGGAAACUAGUAGGCCAAGGCAUUACCAUGCCCUUUUGGAUGAAAAUAAUUUUUCGGCAGGUGGAAUUCAGUUGUUGACGAAUAAUCUCUGCUAUACAUAUGCAAGAUGCACGCGUUCUGUCUCUGUGGGUAAGUGAAGACAUUUUCCUCACACUGUCUUUUAAUCGACAUAUCUGUACUGCUGUCUAUCCAUUGAGAGCCAGUGGAAGAAAUCAUAAUAAUUUUAACCUUGAAAGUGUGCCUUUUCAAGAUGAUCUUUUUUUCUUGAAGAUGUUAAUCUUGUAUUUAUUUCCCUCAUCUAAGAAACUCAAUCAAUAGAUUACUCAAAUACCGAAUGGUAAUCAAAUUAUAUUGUUCCUUGAGUGGCAUUUCAUUCAGACAAUGAGGUCAAGAAAGGUGUGCCAGACUAACCUAGCAAAUUUUUUGUGAUUAAUGCUAUAAACUAACAUAAUUGUUGAUCAGAAUAUGGUGGAGAAAGGGUUGUUUGUAAUGAAUCAAUGAAGUAGAAAGAUUUAAUUCGCAAGAGCGUAAUUAAACACAACAAAUUUUGAAGAGUGUGUAAACCAACAAGAAAACAAGAAAAGGAGAAGAAAUAGAUCUGAGACAAGUGACAAUCACUAUUUCCUUAAGACAAUAUUGUCCCAUAUGGUGCCAACGGUAUAUGGCACUUGUGUCCCAAGAUACAACGGAUUCAACUUAUGGUAAAAGUACUUUAAACCCCAAGUUUCAGUGAACUUAGAAUGGAGCCUUCUCUCUACAAGAAGAAAUGAGUUUGGAAUGAUUUGGAAGAGUUUUUGCAAGAUAUUUUAUGCAAUGCUUAAUGCAAAAAAUGAUAUGGGAUGCAUUAUGGAUGUCCAAAGGAUCCUAUUUAUAGACGAUGAGAGAGCGUGGGUGAAGUGAUGCGCACCAAAUCUCGCAACUUUCUGAAAGAAAGCAUUACCUAUUGUCGUUAGCCUAUCACUGGCCUCUCGUUCAAGCGUCAGUGUCAAAAUUUUAACAUAACUUUUUCGCUAAGAUGUUACUCGAGCGAUCCUGGCAUUGGAACGAUAGGAGAACGACGGAGUUUGGCAAAAUCCAUGGAAGUUUUCCUUCUUUUUUUUUCAAGUUUGGAUCGCAAUUUUUCAUUCAUCCGGAAUAGAUUUUGAGAUUCCAAAAAUACCGUAAUGAUCUACUUGACGAGUAGAAUAAGUUAGCCUAUUUACAUAUAUAAUUUGACUAUUAAAUCAAAUCCGAAUAUUUGGCUGAAAUUGACACGAAACUCACUUUUUCACAUUUAUACUUAACCAAAUUUUCUUAAUUUUACACCAAUUUUCAAUAAUCCCCACAUAAAAGGAAAUUCGAAUAUGUACAUGCAAUGCGAAAAAUUUAUGAUACCUUGUAGAGGGAGAGAGUGGAAUGAGAUGAUGAUAAUAAUAAGUAACUUAACUCUUAAAAUCUUCAACCAAUUUUUUUAGUAAUCCAUAUCAUUAUAGCUACAAUCCAUGAUAAUUAUCUCCUUGAGUCCAAAACCUAGUCCAGAAGCUUCUUGUAUAUAUUUUGUGUGCAUAUAUAAAUAUGUAAAUCUUUGUAGCUUGUCUGUUCUUGGCAUGUAUAUCAUAUAUCUUGUGUACAUAUAUAAGUAAUGAAACGAAUGGAAUGACAAAAAACGGUUCACAUAUUUUUAUUGUUUGUUGUCUUUGUUGCUUAAUAUACGCUAAUUAGGAAUAAAAUAAUAAGAAAUAGAAGCAGACAUUGGUGGAGGGCUAAAACAUCAAUCAUAGGAGGGAUUUUUGCACAAUUUGACAGAUUCUCAGUGGCACGAUUUCAUUGAAUGUUGGACAAAAAUCAAAUAUAAACCAGCCAAUCCACCCUCAUCAUCUGUAAUGCUUCUGGUACAUUUCAUCAGGACAAGGAGCUUAAUUCCUAAACCAUAUCUUGCUGGAUGUCACUUCUGGGGACCAAUGGAAUUGUAACAAGCUUAUCAUUUUUCUCAUUUCCAUCUGAAUGAGAGUGGCCAAGGAAGACUCACAGAACAUUUCACAUGCAUUAAUGGACAACCGGGACUGCCAAAGGUGUGUAGAAUCUUGCCUAAUACUGAAGAAAAAAAUUGAGAUGAGUAUAUACCUCACACACACGCACACAUUAAAUGUAAAGAUCAGUUGUCCAUUCCAGCUUCUACAUUUAGAAAACCUUGAAGGGCUCCAAAACCAGACCUGUGUACAAAAGAGAUGAGUUAUCCAUUAUUAUGAAUCAACCAAAGGUUAAUUAGUUCAUGAUUUUUCUGCUAUAACAGUAUAUAAUCUCCUGAUCUUGUUCAUGGAAAUCAACAUGCAUUUAUAAUUAAGUUGAGACAAUAAAUUGUUGAACUCGAAUUACAGAAUUCUACAAGUAUGUGUAAGAAUUAAAAGCAUGUAUUGAUCUGGGACUGUCGAGUAAUAUGCAGUCUUAAAU
Molecule: long non-coding RNA, 3930 nt
Filed under: Olea europaea subsp. europaea
Lineage: Eukaryota; Viridiplantae; Streptophyta; Magnoliopsida; Lamiales; Oleaceae
Source: RNAcentral